This 390-nucleotide ribosomal RNA is filed under the name uncultured eukaryote. RNAcentral describes it as "SSU rRNA". It matches the Rfam family "Eukaryotic small subunit ribosomal RNA", at positions 567 to 976 of the family's 1831-position model. The record is from RNAcentral.
CCAGCAGCCGCGGUAAUUCCAGCUCCAAUAGCGUAUAUUAAUGUUGUUGCAGUAAAAAAGCUCGUAGUUGGAUUUCUGGUUGGAGCGUCGGCCCGUUUAACGAGUGCUAGACGUCUCUCGCCAUCCUUGCGGGAAGGCAUGGCAUUAACUUGUCGUGUCGGAUCGCAUCAUUUACUGUGAAAAAAUUAGAGUGUUCAAAGCAGGCUUACGCUUGAAUACAUUAGCAUGGAAUAAUAAGAUAGGACUUUGGUGCUAUUUUGUUGGUUGAGCCCGAAGUAAUGAUUAAUAGGGAUAGUUGGGGGUAUUCAUAUUUCGUUGUCAGAGGUGAAAUUCUUGGAUUUACGAAAGAUGAACAACUGCGAAAGCAUUUACCAAGGAUGUUUUCAUUAA